Molecule: ribosomal RNA, 292 nt
Filed under: uncultured bacterium
Lineage: Bacteria
Description: partial 16S ribosomal RNA
Rfam family: Bacterial small subunit ribosomal RNA
Source: RNAcentral
GUGCCAGCAGCAGCGGUAAUACAGAGGUCUCGAGCGUUAGGCGGAAUCACUGGGCUUAAAGCGUGUGUAGGCGGAGUGCUAAGUACCUUGUGAAAUCCCACGGCUUAACCGUGGAACUGCUUGGUAUACUGGUUCUCUUGAGCCACCUAGGGGCGAGCGGAACAAAUGGUGGAGCGGUGAAAUGCGUAGAUAUCUGCAGGAACACCCGUGGCGAAGGCGGCUCACUGGAUCGCAACUGACGCUGAGAGACGAAAGCUAGGGGAGCAAAUAGGAUUAGAUACCCUCGUAGUCC